RNAcentral lists this ribosomal RNA (245 nucleotides) under uncultured bacterium. Its description in RNAcentral is "partial 16S ribosomal RNA". It matches the Rfam family "Bacterial small subunit ribosomal RNA", at positions 524 to 763 of the family's 1533-position model. The record is from RNAcentral.
UACGUAGGAGGCGAGCGUUGUCCGGAAUUACUGGGCGUAAAGCGCGUGUAGGCGGUCGUGCGACGUCGCGGAUGAAAGCCCUCUGCUCAACGGGGGGAGGGUUCGCGAAACGGGCCGACUCGGUGGAGUGUGGUAGGGGGGUGCGGAAUGGCCGGUGGAGCGGUGAAAUGCGUAGAGAUCGGUCAGAACACCAGUGGCGAAGGCGGCACCCUGGGCCAGUACUGACGCUGAGACGCGAAAGCGUG